RNAcentral lists this long non-coding RNA (1229 nucleotides) under Manacus vitellinus (golden-collared manakin). RNAcentral describes it as "lncRNA (ENSMVIG00005014983.1)". The record is from RNAcentral. Lineage: Eukaryota; Metazoa; Chordata; Aves; Passeriformes; Pipridae.
GCUAGUGCCUGCUCAUCUUGGUGAAAUGCCUCCUACAUUUCUACCUUUGUAGAAAGGAGAAGCUAUCUGAAAUUCUCUGCAAACUGACAUAAACCCAAAGCAUCUUCCUGGAGAGGGAAGAGGUUUGUGAUAGCGGGAGAGAUAUGGAGCUGACUCAUGCUGCAAAUCUGAGACUUCCCUGCAGCAACUAAUGAUAAGCUGGGGUACACAGUGUGCACUGCGGCUGCUCAGGAGACUUCAGCUUCACCUCCCCAUAGCCAUGGAGCCUGGCACAGGCUCUUCUUGGCUCAAGGGCACUGUUCCAGCCAGUAGGGCUUUGGCAGGCCAUCGUGGCAGUGUCACUGUCUUGCUGUUGCUCACUAUCCCAAGAACUGACCCUUAGUGUUAUAUACUAAAUGUUAAAGAAAACAAUCACAGCAAUAAUAGUUACCAAUGGCCAAGAGAGGAUGGGAAAUCUGGGGCUUGUUCAUCCAGUGCUGAUGGGCUGGUAUUCUGGGACCCUGAAGACCACCACCUGAAUCACUGAUUGUAUGGUGAGUGUUGGGGCAGGAGAGAAUAAUUUUUCUUGCACUUCUGAGUUUUGUUUCACAGCUCCAGGAAAAGCCAAAUGCAGAUGCAGUGCUAGCUGCACAGCCUUGUUAGAAUACAGCUUUUCAUUUGGGCUUUUCUUUUUAUCUUGCACAAGAUGCAGUCCUGGCUUGUCAAACCUGGGAAAUGGGUGAUUCAUCUAUUGUAUUGUCCUGUUCUCAGUAAAUUGCAGUGUGAUUCCCAAUUUACCUGCCAUAUGACCAGUUCUUCUUAAAAAUCCAAAUGCAUAAGCCAUCUGUGUCCAAGAACAUGGGAAGGGAGCACAUUACUUACGAAGUAUGUAAUCAAGCAGUGUGAUCUAACCAUUAACUGCGUGACAUCCUUCUCUUUAUUUGGACAGUUUACUGGCUCUAGGGUUUCAAGUGGGCGCUGUCACUUACACUUUCUGAUAAUACAACUUAAUUAAAAUUUCAUUCCUGUACCAGCAAGUGCCAGGUCACCAGAUGGUUACUAAUUGUUAUGUCCACAUAUUCUGUUCUGGAUUGCAGCAGACUAUGUUUGUGCUAAUGUUACUGGGACAAUUGCUACAUGUACUUUGCAAAUGUUUACUAUACAAAUCUUAGUCUUUAAAUAAUGUAAAAAGAAUUGCUUCAGUAUUUAUUAACCCAUGUAAAGCAAUAAACUUCCACAAGACCCUAACA